Molecule: long non-coding RNA, 325 nt
Filed under: Hordeum vulgare
Lineage: Eukaryota; Viridiplantae; Streptophyta; Magnoliopsida; Poales; Poaceae
Description: long non-coding RNA (HVUL_LNC004527)
Source: RNAcentral
CCAAUACUAUUAAAAGGGGUGAGGUGGUAAAAUGAAUUGAUUGCUCAAAUGCUCAAAGUUAGCCACCAAAACACUCAAUCAUUUUUCCCACAUAUCCACUGUGUCAAGUUCCACAUAUACAAAUUCGGUGUCACUAACAUUGUCACAUAGGACCCACCGAGUUUGAUCCUAAUAAAGAACCCUAGCCAUUCCCACAAAAUCGGUGCAACCGAAACUGCAUCGGUGCUACCGAGUUUGUGUGACCAACAUUCUCUUGCCCAAAUACACAAAAUCAGAAUUUCCGAGUUUGAGUAUCGGUGCCACCGAGUUUGGCGAUCUGACUUUU